UCGGCAGGGGGAUAAGCGGGGGAAACCCCGUCUAAUACCGCGUAACGCGGCCUAGGGACAUCCCAAGGCCGCCAAAGGGAGCAAUCCCGGCCACGGAUGGGCAUGCGGCGCAUUAGCUAGUCGGCGGGGUAACGGCCCACCGAGGCGACGAUGCGUAGGGGUUCUGAGAGGAAGGCCCCCCACACUGGUACUGAGACACGGACCAGACUCCUACGGGAGGCAGCAG
Molecule: ribosomal RNA, 226 nt
Filed under: uncultured bacterium
Lineage: Bacteria
Description: partial 16S ribosomal RNA
Rfam family: Bacterial small subunit ribosomal RNA
Source: RNAcentral